AGUGAACGCUGGCGGUAGGCCUAACACAUGCAAGUCGAACGGCAGCACAGUAAGAGCUUGCUCUUACGGGUGGCGAGUGGCGGACGGGUGAGGAAUACAUCGGAAUCUACUUUUUCGUGGGGGAUAACGUAGGGAAACUUACGCUAAUACCGCAUACGACCUACGGGUGAAAGCAGGGGAUCUUCGGACCUUGCGCGAUUGAAUGAGCCGAUGUCGGAUUAGCUAGUUGGCGGGGUAAAGGCCCACCAAGGCGACGAUCCGUAGCUGGUCUGAGAGGAUGAUCAGCCACACUGGAACUGAGACACGGUCCAGACUCCUACAGGAGGCAGCAGUGGGGAAUAUUGGACAAUGGGCGCAAGCCUGAUCCAGCCAUACCGCGUGGGUGAAGAAGGCCCUCGGGUUGUAAAGCCCUUUUGUUGGGAAAGAAAAGCAGCAGGUUAAUACCCCGCUGUUCUGACGGUACCCAAAGAAUAAGCACCGGCUAACUUCGUG
This 492-nucleotide ribosomal RNA is filed under the name uncultured bacterium. RNAcentral describes it as "partial 16S ribosomal RNA". It matches the Rfam family "Bacterial small subunit ribosomal RNA", at positions 29 to 507 of the family's 1533-position model. The record is from RNAcentral.